RNAcentral lists this ribosomal RNA (331 nucleotides) under Solanum tuberosum (potato). RNAcentral's name for it is "rRNA SSU_rRNA_eukarya". It matches the Rfam family "Eukaryotic small subunit ribosomal RNA", at positions 167 to 425 of the family's 1831-position model. Lineage: Eukaryota; Viridiplantae; Streptophyta; Magnoliopsida; Solanales; Solanaceae. The record is from RNAcentral.
AUAUAGCCUUGUAGGCAACUCAUUAUCCGUCAAGGAAUGAAGGCUCGUGGUCUACCACUUUUGCUCAGUAGUUGGUCAAAAUUAUGUGGACUUCAAUCGAUGGAACGACCCACGGUCCAUAGGUCUAAGCGGGAUUUGCCCAUUGUCGUGAUGAUUCAUAUUAACUCGACGGAUCGCCCGACCAUCGAGACGGUGAUGCAUCAUUCAAAUUUCUGCCCUAUCAACUUUCGAUGGUAGGAUAGUGGCCUACCAUGGUAGUGACAGGUGAUGGAGAAUUAGGGUUCGAUUUCGGAGGGGGAGCCUGAGAAACGGCUACCAUAUCCAAGGAAGG